CCUACGGGAGGCAGCAGUGGGGAAUAUUGGACAAUGGGGGGAACCCUGAUCCAGCGACGCCGCGUGAGUGAAGAAGUAUUUCGGUAUGUAAAGCUCUAUCAGCAGGGAAGAAAGAAAUGACGGUACCUGACUAAGAAGCCCCGGCUAACUACGUGCCAGCAGCCGCGGUAAUACGUAGGGGGCAAGCGUUAUCCGGAUUCACUGGGUGUAAAGGGAGCGUAGACGGCGAGACAAGUCUGGAGUGAAAGGCCGGGGCCCAACCCCGGGACUGCUCUGGAAACUGCCUGGCUGGAGUACAGGAGAGGUAAGUGGAAUUCCUAGUGUAGCGGUGAAAUGCGUAGAUAUUAGGAGGAACACCAGUGGCGAAGGCGGCUUACUGGACUGUAACUGACGUUGAGGCUCGAAAGCGUGGGGAGCAAACAGGAUUAGAUACCCUGGUAGUC
Molecule: ribosomal RNA, 443 nt
Filed under: uncultured bacterium
Lineage: Bacteria
Description: partial 16S ribosomal RNA
Rfam family: Bacterial small subunit ribosomal RNA
Source: RNAcentral